AAUUCUCAACAACGGAUAUCUUGGCUCUCGCAACGAUGAAGAACGCAGCGAAAUGCGAUACGUAGUGUGAAUUGCAGAAUUCCGUGAAUCAUCGAAUCUUUGAAUGCAAAUUCUGCCAUUUGUCACUGCUAAGAUUCC
Non-coding RNA from Cymbomonas tetramitiformis, 138 nucleotides. The record is from the annotation of a GenBank genome assembly. NCBI's taxonomy places the organism in Eukaryota, Viridiplantae, Chlorophyta, Pyramimonadophyceae, Pyramimonadales, Pyramimonadaceae.